CAUUCACUCGCCAAGAGAUUCACAGACUCCCCCCUCGGGGAGGGAGAGAGAGAAGGGAAAGCCGGAUUCUGUACUUAUCGGAAGAGACCCAGGAAAAACAUAGCGAGAUGGAGAAAAGGAUCAGCAACAUUCUGGGAAUCCACUGUCCUUAUUUCAGUUAGGGUCUGAGAUCCAUUCACAGGUUGGACCUGAAUCAAAAUAAUCCACAUCUAACCAGGCUUCAUUUUCAGCUUCAGCGCGAACUUGGGCCGUCUUCAGACCGCAGAAGGCGAAUGAUUGGUUGGUCUCAGUGAGAACAUCCAAUUAAAGGGCACCGUCACCAGUUUCCGGGAGAAUCACUCCGAGACCAGGCUGCAAAACAGGAACUCAACAAUGAGCCGUCCUCUCCCCGGAGGGUCUCGAAAAGCAGUGUAACUGGGCCGUUUGGCAUGGAGAGGUAUUUACCCCUUCCUGCUAUUCUCGAUCUUCCCAAACUACCAUUAAUUCACUGAAGGCCUUCACUUUCUCGGAUUCACUGCCCUCACGGCAGUGACAGCCUGUAAUGUUUAUCUGCAAAUAACAUGCUGUAAUAAUUAUUGUUAGCUUCUGUACGUCAGGACAACAGGGUGGUCACGGACUGAGGAGGAACUGAAUUAACUUUCAUCACAACGCCUGGUAACGACAUUAAGUACCCGACAAUCGGAGGCAUUCAUGUGUCCGGCCUCAAGCUUUGCCAUUCGUAUUUAGUGCAGCAUGUACCCCUCAGCGUGUCAUGCUAUAAAAGGCCAGAUGGAGACUGACAACUUUCGACCAGUGGGUUAUCAGCCACGAUACGGCGAUGGCAUUACCAGGUCAUCGCAUACACUGACAUCCUCACUGACUGCCUAUCAAUGGAAUGGGAGAGAUCACCAAAAUCUCCAUGAAGUGGAAGAAUGAAGGGGAGUGUGGGAAUGAGGAUUUCGUGCGCAAUCCCGAUUCUGCCUGAAGGACAGAACAUUUGGAAUGAUGGAGAAACGAUUGGAAGCUGUAGAGCUACAUUCUCCUGCGUGUGACUCAGAGUGACGCACAUCAGUUUUCUUGUAAUACAGUGCCUCAGUCACCACUAUUUUAUUCUCCACGUCCCGAACUCCACUCUCCCAGUAUCUCUCCUUCCAAACCUCACUCUCCACUCCCUCAUCCCCCAUUCCUUUCCCUCAUCUCCUUCACACUUGACUCCCCCUGCUCUGUGCUGUGUGAGUCUGGUUAGUUAAUGCUGAGGGUAAUUGAUUCCUGAGACCAGUGAGUAAUGGAAAAUAUCUCAUACUGUCUAAUUUUAUAUUUUAUUCCACUUCUCACAUUCUGGUUUUAUUUUCUCAGCUUCUGAUGUGUCUGUUCCAGCUUCUUCAUGAUCCAGUAAGUGACAGGUCAACUUCUGUCUGCAGACUUUUUGUGGCAUUUUCACUCCCCUCCUGACCCUGUCUCGCCCUCCCAGACACUGUUAAAACUUGUCAGACUAAUUUCACUCCGCUCCCUACCCUGAAAUGAUUGUCUUGUUUCAGUCUAUUCCUAACCUUGUGGGUUUCUUAGAGCCUUAUAGAGGAAUAACAGGAUUCUCCUGUUCUAGUGUGAACACUGACAUCACCGUCCAUCCUUAAAUAUCACAGCAGACACACAGAAUUACAGCUCAUUGUUCAUACUCAGUUCUUUCAGGAUUGAGACCUAUUUUUCCUGGGAAUGUAUUUCCGUAGAUUGAACAGUGUUUCCCAGACCUGCAGGUAUGGAACCUAAUUGUUCAAGUGUGAUCUUCUCAAGUCACGCUCCCAACCUGCCUCAGAAAUGCGAGCAGAAUCACCGUCAGAGGGAUCUGCACAGAUGGCUUCUGCCUCACACUUUUUCAUCUUCACUGUAUUCAGUGGCUCCAUGAUUUAGCUGAAAUGAAGCAAUGUCCUGAGGCAACUCAGAAGCAUUUUUUUUAUAGUAGGAAACUGAUUGAUUUUGUACUUUGUGCAACAAAUCUGAACUCUUAUUUUUAUAUAGGUAUGAUUUUUAUAACUGUGAUAAAGAGACAAAUAUCGUUAACAAUUUAUUAUCAAUGUUUAAUUG
Long non-coding RNA from Stegostoma tigrinum, 2061 nucleotides. RefSeq lists it as uncharacterized. The record is from RefSeq and is a predicted model, not a curated record. The transcript has 3 exons. NCBI's taxonomy places the organism in Eukaryota, Metazoa, Chordata, Chondrichthyes, Orectolobiformes, Stegostomatidae.